RNAcentral lists this ribosomal RNA (398 nucleotides) under uncultured bacterium. Its description in RNAcentral is "bacterial SSU rRNA". It matches the Rfam family "Bacterial small subunit ribosomal RNA", at positions 358 to 773 of the family's 1533-position model. The record is from RNAcentral.
GGAAUCUUGGACAAUGGGGGCAACCCUGAUCCAGCGACGCCGCGUGGGUGAUGAAGGCCCUAGGGUUGUAAAGCUCUUUCACCGGUGAAGAUAAUGACGGUAACCGGAGAAGAAGCCCCGGCUAACUUCGUGCCAGCAGCCGCGGUAAUACGAAGGGGGCUAGCGUUGUUCGGAAUUACUGGGCGUAAAGCGCACGUAGGCGGACAUUUAAGUCAGGGGUGAAAUCCCGGGGCUCAACCCCGGAACUGCCUUUGAUACUGGGUGUCUAGCGUCCGGAAGAGGUGAGUGGAAUUCCGAGUGUAGAGGUGAAAUUCGUAGAUAUUCGGAGGAACACCAGUGGCGAAGGCGGCUCACUGGUCCGGUACUGACGCUGAGGUGCGAAAGCGUGGGGAGCAAAC